RNAcentral lists this ribosomal RNA (433 nucleotides) under uncultured bacterium. RNAcentral's name for it is "partial 16S ribosomal RNA". It matches the Rfam family "Bacterial small subunit ribosomal RNA", at positions 29 to 507 of the family's 1533-position model. The record is from RNAcentral.
AACGAACGCUGGCGGCAGGCCUAACACAUGCAAGUCGAGCGAGGACUUCGGUUCUAGCGGCGGACGGGUGCGUAACGCGUGGGAAUGUGCCCUUCUCUACGGAAUAGCCCUGGGAAACUGGGAGUAAUACCGUAUACGCCCUUUUGGGGAAAGAUUUAUCGGAGAAGGAUCAGCCCGCGUUGGAUUAGGUAGUUGGUGGGGUAAUGGCCUACCAAGCCGACGAUCCAUAGCUGGUUUGAGAGGAUGAUCAGCCACACUGGGACUGAGACACGGCCCAGACUCCUACGGGAGGCAGCAGUGGGGAAUCUGAGACAAUGGGGGCAACCCUGAUCUAGCCAUGCCGCGUGAGUGAUGAAGGCCUUAGGGUUGUAAAGCUCUUUCAGCUGGGAAGAUAAUGACGGUACCAGCAGAAGAAGCCCGGGCUAACUCCGUG